UUAAGUAAGGAAGGGCGUACGGCGAAUGCCUUGCCACUCGAAACUGAAGAAGGACGCGCCAAACUGCGAAAAGCUCCGUGAAGCUGUAAGGAAGCGAAGAAGCGGAGGUGUCCGAAUGGGGGAACCCGGCAGCAGACAUGAGCUGUCAUCUGCAGGUGAAUACAUGGCCUGCAAGAGAGGUACCCGGCGAACUGAAACAUCUAAGUAGCCGGAGGAAAAGAAAACAACAGUGAUUCCCUGAGUAGCGGCGAGCGAAAGGGGAGAAGCCCAAACCGGUCCGAGGACCGGGGUUGAAGGACCAUGAUAUGGCAAGAGCGAGGAUAGGAGAACGGGAUCGAAAGCCCGGCCGAAGAAGGUGAAAGCCCUGUAACCGAAAUCCGAGCGAAGCCUAAUGGGAUCCUGAGUACGGCGAGACACGAGAAAUCUUGUCGGAAGCAGGCGGGACCAUCCGCCAAGGCUAAAUAUAAACGAGUGAGCGAUAGUGAACCAGUACCGUGAGGGAAAGGUGAAAAGAACCGCGGGAGCGGAGUGAAAGAGAACCUGAAACCGUAUGCCUACAAGAAGUCAGAGCCCGUUAAGGGGUGAUGGCGUGCCUUUUGUAGAAUGAACCGGCGAGUUACUGUAUGGAGCGAGGUUAAGCAGGAUAUGCGGAGCCGAAGCGAAAGCGAGUCUUAAGAGGGCGCGAGUUGCAUGCAGUAGACCCGAAACCGGGUGAUCUAGCCAUGACCAGGUUGAAGUUGGGGUAAAACCCGAUGGAGGACCGAACCGACCCCCGUUGAAACGUUGGCGGAUGAGUUGUGGCUAGGGGUGAAAUUCCAAUCGAACCCGGAGAUAGCUGGUUCUCCCCGAAAUAGCUUUAGGGCUAGCGUCGAGAGAAGAGUUGCGUGAAGGUAGAGCACUGAAUAUGUGAUGGCCCCAUCUCGGGGUACUGAGCAUAAUCAAACUGCGAAUGUCACGCCAACAUGCUCGGCAGUCAGACAGCGGGUGAUAAGGUCCGUUGUCAAGAGGGAAACAGCCCAGACCAUCAGCUAAGGUCCCAAAAUGUAUGCUAAGUGGAAAAGGAUGUGGAGAUGUACAGACAACUAGGAGGUUGGCUCAGAAGCAGCCAUCCUUUAAAGAGUGCGUAACAGCUCACUAGUCGAGUGACCCUGCGCCGAAAAUGUACCGGGGCUAAGCCUGAUACCGAAACUGCGGAUUGUAGGAAACUAUAGUGGUAGGGGAGCGUUGUAUACGAGCAGAAGCCGUACCGUGAGGAGCGGUGGAUUGUAUAGAAGUGAGAAUGCCGGUGUGAGUAGCGAGAUGUAGGUGAGAAUCCUACACACCGAAAGCCCAAGGAUUCCAGGGGAAGGUUCGUCCGCCCUGGGUAAGUCGGGACCUAACGCGAGGCCGAAAGGCGUAGUGGAUGGAAAGCAGGCGAAAGAUUCCUGCACCCGUAUAUGGAGCGAAGGAGUGACGGAGACGGAUAGUGUGACCCUCUUAAUGGAUUGAGGGCGAAGCGAAGCGGCUGGUUACCAGGCAAAUCCGGUAACCAAAAGGCUAGAGCGUGACAGGUAAGCGAAAUCUUAGGAAAGUAGCGAAGCACAUGAUGACGGCUUCCAGGAAAAGCUUCUGGCAAUGCAUAUGCGGCCCGUACCAAAACCGACACAGGUGGGCAGGGAGAGAAUCCCGAGGUGAGCGAGAGAACUGUUGCCAAGGAACUCGGCAAAAUGACUCCGUAAGUUAGCGAGAAGGAGUGCUUAAGCAAUUAAGCCGCAGUGAAGAGGCCCAAGCGACUGUUUAACUAAAACACAGCUCUCUGCGAAGUCGCAAGACGAAGUAUAGGGGGUGACACCUGCCCGGUGCUGGAAGGUUAAGAGGAUCUGUUAAGAGCGAUCUGAAGCAGUGAUCCGAAGCCCCAGUGAACGGCGGCCGUAACUAUAACGGUCCUAAGGUAGCGAAAUUCCUUGGCAGGUAAGUUCUGACCCGCACGAAAGGUG
This 1976-nucleotide ribosomal RNA is filed under the name human gut metagenome. Its description in RNAcentral is "bacterial LSU rRNA". It matches the Rfam family "Bacterial large subunit ribosomal RNA", at positions 3 to 2001 of the family's 2925-position model. The record is from RNAcentral.